GUGAAGAAGGCCUGAGGGUUGUAAAGCACUUUCAAUUGGGAGGAAAACCUGCCGGUCAAUACCCGGCAGCUUGACAUUACCUUUAGAAGAAGCACCGGGUAACUCCGUGCCAGCAGCCGCGGUAAUACGGAGGGUGCGAGCGUUAAUCGGAAUUACUGGGCGUAAAGCGUGCGUAGGCGGUUAUUUAAGUCAGAUGUGAAAGCCCCGGGCUUAACCUGGGAACUGCAUUUUGAUACUGGGUAACUAGAGUUUGGUAGAGGAGAGUGGAAUUUCAGGUGUACCGGUGAAAUGCGUAUAGAUCUGAAGGAACACCAGUGGCUAAGGCGACUCUGUGGACUGAAACUGACCCUGAGGUGCGAAAGC
RNAcentral lists this ribosomal RNA (363 nucleotides) under uncultured type I methanotroph R5. RNAcentral describes it as "bacterial SSU rRNA". It matches the Rfam family "Bacterial small subunit ribosomal RNA", at positions 405 to 760 of the family's 1533-position model. Lineage: Bacteria; Pseudomonadati; Pseudomonadota; Gammaproteobacteria; Methylococcales; Methylococcaceae. The record is from RNAcentral.